UGGGGAAUUUUCCGCAAUGGGCGAAAGCCUGACGGAGCAAUGCCGCGUGGAGGUGGAAGGCCUACGGGUCGUCAACUUCUUUUCUCGGAGAAGAAACAAUGGCGGUAUCUGAGGAAUAAGCAUCGGCUAACUCUGCGCCAG
Molecule: ribosomal RNA, 141 nt
Filed under: uncultured bacterium
Lineage: Bacteria
Description: partial 16S rRNA
Rfam family: Bacterial small subunit ribosomal RNA
Source: RNAcentral